GCAGGGGUGUGAGCUGACCCAUACUGGAUGGAGUUCAACAACUGGGAAAGCUCUGUAACCUACCAAGUGGAUGCUGGUUACUUGAAGACCUGGCCUGAGGUGUCAGGCUCUCUUUAAUCCAUCCUUUCUCAACAGGCCAUAUCAGGAGUGUAACCCUACUGCCUUAGUUAACAGCAGCAGCAGUGCAGUACAGGCAUCUGGAGCCUAGAGGACAAGGUGUGUGCUACAAAGGGUGGGGCUGGAGAAGUGACCCAAGUCCUUGGAGGAAUACAGAAGAUGAAGAGCUUCUCUGAAGAACACCAGUGGAACUCCUUUGUUAAUUAAAAGUGCUGAGCACGAGUGCAUUGGAAGCAUUGUAGAUUUGCAUGCACCAUCACUGUGACACUAUGCUCUGUUAUUAAACAAGCC
RNAcentral lists this long non-coding RNA (408 nucleotides) under Mus caroli (Ryukyu mouse). RNAcentral's name for it is "lncRNA (MGP_CAROLIEiJ_G0005770.1)". Lineage: Eukaryota; Metazoa; Chordata; Mammalia; Rodentia; Muridae. The record is from RNAcentral.